Prionailurus viverrinus (fishing cat) is the source of this 1351-nucleotide long non-coding RNA. RefSeq lists it as uncharacterized. NCBI's taxonomy places the organism in Eukaryota, Metazoa, Chordata, Mammalia, Carnivora, Felidae. The transcript is spliced from 7 exons. The record is from RefSeq and is a predicted model, not a curated record.
AGGGCGCCGAGCAGCCGUGCGGAGGCGGUGCGGAGCCGCCCGGGGCGCGCCGGUCCCCACAGCGUGACGGUGGCAAGUUACGGACCCAGGUCUCCCCAUUUGUAAAAGCGCGUCUUUUUUUGGAGCCCCUUCCAUCGGUCCUUUAGAGCCGGUCACUAGAUCCUGGAAGCUGGUGUUUGCCUUGGUCCUCUGGGAGCAUGAUCAAGUUGGAUCCCGAUAAAGCACAGACUUCCAGUUAAAUUUGAUUCAGAUCAGCAAUGAAUCAUUUUUCAGUGUUAGGAAGCCCAGGCCCAGAAUGCAGGCGACUUGCCCAGUUUCAGGUGUACAACAUAAUCAUUCAGUGAUUACAUACGUCACAAAAUGUUCACCUCGGAGCCUGGGGGCCACGGGGCUUUCAGCUGCGCCAAGAAGGCGAAAAUCCUAUCCCCGCAGCACCCCUUUCCGCCUUCGGUGACACGAGUUACUGCUGUCGGCGGUUCCAGGGAUCGCUCAACGUCACAGUGACAAGGGAUCUCGGCAGCUUAGUGGCAUAGAUGACGUCAGAGUGCCUGGAGCCAGACAUAUUUCAACUUGGGCCAAGUAACGGAAACUUCUAAGUGCCUCAGUCUCCGCAUCUGUGAGAAAACGGAGACACAGAAAGUUCCCAUUACUCACUUAAGACCACACAGCCGGUGAGUGGCCGAGUUGGGGCACAGAUUCAGGCCUGUCGCCGUGCACAGUCUAGCGAACAUUGGCGGAUUAGAUGCUGCACUCUGGAAGGCAGGUGCCUGGGGUGUUCAGCUGAGGAGACUGAGCCUAGGGGCUGGGUGCCUUGGACCAGGCCGCAUGGGCACGUGGCAGAGCCAGGCCUUCCCGCUCUUUCUUCCGCGUCUCGGUGGCCUCCUGGGCUUCUGGACUGGGGUCAAAGCAGGUGCCCCCUCCAGCUACCAUUCCCCCUUCUUCCCAUCCAGGCCCUUCUCCCAGGAGGCUGGGCCUUGCCGUGCCCCAGAAGGUGCCCUCCUGGCCUGAGCCGGAUGGCAAGAGGCAGAGGGGAGCUCAGAGCCAGCCCUGGAAGAGGGGGGCGUGGUGCCUACAGAGGCCGAGUGGGCGGCAGGGGACCCAGGAAGGCUGCAGCACCUGGCUGGUCUCAGGAAUAUCAGUUGGAAAAUCAGAGGGGCAAAGAUGGCUUCGUUCCUCUUAGCCUGUCUUAGUCAAUUAAUUGAGCAGACGUUUCUUAAGCAUCCCCUGCUUUGAGCCAGCUACUCUGCUCCGUGCCAGGAGAGGACAUGGAGUUGAGGGUGGCUCGGUCUUGCCCUCUGGGAAGAGAAGCAGGCGAGUGGGAGGCUGAGAGGAGACGGUCCCUGAAGUAAAG